AGAGAAUCACUUGAACCCCGGGUGGUGGAUGUUGCAGUGAACCGAGAUCAUGUCACCGCACUCCAACCUGGGUGACAGAG
Molecule: small nuclear RNA, 80 nt
Filed under: Homo sapiens (human)
Lineage: Eukaryota; Metazoa; Chordata; Mammalia; Primates; Hominidae
Description: partial ncRNA
Source: RNAcentral